GUAAACAUAUCACUAGUUUUUUACUAUUUAAAGUGAUAAAGAAAUUUAUACUUGUUACACAAAGGUGAAUAAUGGCUGAAAUUUUCAAGUUCUUUUAUACUAUAGUCAUUCUUGUUUCCCUAUUUUUUGUUAUAGCCAACAGUAGAGGUAUAAGGCCAGGACGAGAAUGUGUUUCUGACUACGAUUGUUAUAUAAAAUAUACGAUUUUAUGGAAAUACAAUAAUGUCUGCACUAAAGGUGUUUGUUACACCUUGUUAGAUGCGGUUCAUCCUUAGGACACGACUGAACAGCAGUAUCGAGGUGUUUGUCCAUGAGAAUAAAGUUGAUAAUUAUUCUCUCACCUAUGCUAUGGUGUUCAUGAAAGUUUGUUGGAUGGAUUAUUGUUUAUGUAUAAAUUAUGUUGUAAGGAUCUCAUAUUGUGAUAUCAAGGCUGGUUUUAAUAAUCUGGUCUCGACUUAAUUUUUUGGAUCCUACAAAAAUAUUACGUAGGCUAUUUUGUCGA
This is a long non-coding RNA of Medicago truncatula (barrel medic), 502 nucleotides long. RefSeq lists it as uncharacterized. Lineage: Eukaryota; Viridiplantae; Streptophyta; Magnoliopsida; Fabales; Fabaceae. The transcript has 3 exons. The record is from RefSeq and is a predicted model, not a curated record.